UCCGCCCUGGUGUAAUGGCAACACGCCAGCCUUUGGAGCUGUGCAUUCUAGGUUCGAAUCCUAGGGGCGGAACAA
RNAcentral lists this transfer RNA (75 nucleotides) under Glutamicibacter soli. RNAcentral's name for it is "tRNA-Gln". It matches the Rfam family "tRNA". From Rfam's summary of the family: Transfer RNA (tRNA) molecules are approximately 80 nucleotides in length. Their secondary structure includes four short double-helical elements and three loops (D, anti-codon, and T loops). Further hydrogen bonds mediate the characteristic L-shaped molecular structure. tRNAs have two regions of fundamental functional importance: the anti-codon, which is responsible for specific mRNA codon recognition, and the 3' end, to which the tRNAs corresponding amino acid is attached (by aminoacyl-tRNA synthetases). tRNAs cope with the degeneracy of the genetic code in two manners: having more than one tRNA (with a specific anti-codon) for a particular amino acid; and 'wobble' base-pairing, i.e. permitting non-standard base-pairing at the 3rd anti-codon position. Lineage: Bacteria; Bacillati; Actinomycetota; Actinomycetes; Micrococcales; Micrococcaceae. The record is from RNAcentral. RNAcentral also lists the same sequence under 2 other names.